AGUCAAGAUAAUAAGGGCGUACGGUGGAUGCCUUGGCGCUUUGGGCCGAAGAAGGACGUAGUAAGCUGCGAUAAGCCUCGGGGAGCUGCAAGCAAGCGGAGAUCCGGGGAUUUCCGAAUGGGGAAACCCGGCGGGGGCGAACCCUCGUCACCGUUAACUGAAAUAAAAUAGGUUAACGGGGGGCACUCGGGGAACUGAAACAUCUUAGUACCCGGAGGAAAAGAAAGAAAAAUCGAUUCCCCUAGUAGCGGCGAGCGAAAAGGGAACAGCCCAAACCCUUCUCGAACUUCGAGAAGGGGGUUGCGGGACCUUCAAAAACCUUUAAGGCUCUUCUAAUCGAAGUGAGCUGGAAAGCUCCGUCAUAGAAGGUAACAACCCUGUAGGUGAAAGAAGAAGCUUUAGACAAGAAGGAAUCCCGAGUACCACGGGACACGGGAAACCCCGUGGGAAGCAGGGAGGACCACCUCCCAAGGCUAAAUACCCAAAGCGACCGAUAGUGAACUAGUACCGUGAGGGAAAGGUGAAAAGCACCCCGGGAGGGGAGUGAAAUAGUACCUGAAACCGUAUGCCUACAAGCAGUCGGAGCACUAUUUGGUGGUUAGUGGUUAGUGGUUAGUGGUUGGGGGUUACCCCAACGACCAAUUACUAACCACCCACCACCAAAGUGUGACGGCGUACUUUUUGUAGAACGGACCGGCGAGUUACUUUAAGCGGGCAAGGUUAAGGUCAGAAAGACCGGAGCCGCAGCGAAAGCAAGUCUUAACUGGGCGUAUUAGUCCGUUGGAGUAGACCCGAAACCGGGUGAGCUACCCAUGUCCAGAGUGAAGCGAAAGUGAAAUUUCGUGAAGGCUCGAACCAACCGUCGUUGAAAAGGCGGUGGAUGAGGUGUGGGUAGAGGUGAAAUGCCAAUCGAACCCGGAAAUAGCUGGUUCUCCCCGAAAUAGCUUUAGGGCUAGCCUUGGGGAAUUAAAUACCGGAGGUAGAGCACUGAAUGGGCUAGGGGCCUUCACCGGUUACCGAACUCAAUCAAACUCCGAAUGCCGGAUAUUUUUACCCCGGGAGUCAGACCGUGGGUGCUAAGAUUCAUGGUCAAGAGGGAAACAGCCCAGACCGUCGGCUAAGGUCCCUAAACCGUGCUAAGUGGGAAAGGAUGUGGAGUUGCCCGGACAACCAGGAUGUUGGCUUAGAAGCAGCCACCAUUUAAAGAGUGCGUAAUAGCUCACUGGUCAAGUGGUUCUGCGCCUAAAAUGUAACGGGGCUAAAGCAUGGUACCGAAGCCACGGAUCUCGGAGGUCAGUCGUCAGAGGUCAGAAGUCGGAGGAAAAACGUGAUUCAGAAUUACCAGGAUUUAGAGGUAUAUAACCGGUCUUACAGGCUUGCGUUAGAGAUACACAAGAUCACCCAGGCUUUCCCCAGUAUAGAAAGGCAUGAAUUGGGGAGUCAGGUUCGGCGGGCCGCCAUCUCCAUAGCAUUAAAUAUUGCUGAGGGGUAUGGUCGGAAAGAUUCACCGGCUGAGUUUAAGCAUUUUUUAAGAAAUGCUUUGGGUUCUUGUAAUGAAACGAGGGUCCUGGUUGACAUGGCAGGAGACCUUGGCUAUAUAAGCCAAGAACAACGCUUAAGAUUAAGCCAGGAAUACGAAGUUUUGAGCAAGCAAAUCUAUCGUUUAAAAGAAUCCUGGUCUAAAAAAUAAUCAAAAGGUUUCCGACAUCCGACAUCCGACGACCGACUUCCGAGAAGGUAGGGGAGCGUUCUGUAUGCAGCGAAGCUAUACCGUAAGGAGUGGUGGAGCGUACAGAAGAGAGAAUGCCGGUAUGAGUAAGCGAAAAGGCAGGUGAGAAUCCUGCCCGCCGAAAGCCUAAGGUUUCCUGGGGAAGGCUCGUCCGCCCAGGGUAAGCCGGACCUAAGCCGAGGCUGAAAAGCGUAGGCGAUGGACAAUCGGUGGAGAUUCCGAUGCCACCAGUUACCGUUACCGAUGGGGUGACCCGGGAGGGUAGACCAAGCGCGCCGUUGGAUGAGCGCGCCCAAGCCUGUAGGGCAGGGGAUAGGCAAAUCCGUCCCCUAAACAAGCCUAAGGGGUGAUGGGGAGGGAAAUUAAGUACCGAAGUGGUUGAACCCAUACCGGCUAGAAAAGCCUCUAAGGAUUUUAAGUACUGGUGUCCGUACCGCAAACCGACACAGGUAGGCGAGGAGAGAAUCCUAAGGCGCGCGAGAGAACCCUCGUUAAGGAACUCGGCAAAAUGACCCCGUAACUUCGGGAUAAGGGGUACCUCAUUAGCGUGGGCUUAAAUACUUAAGCUUGGCGCGAAGAGGUCGCAGUGAAAUGGCCCAAGCGACUGUUUACCAAAAACACAGGUCCCUGCAAAAUCGUAAGAUGAAGUAUAGGGGCUGACGCCUGCCCGGUGCUGGAAGGUUAAGGGGAGGGGUGAGAGCUCUGAACUGAAGCCCCAGUAAACGGCGGCCGUAACUAUAACGGUCCUAAGGUAGCGAAAUUCCUUGUCGGGUAAGUUCCGACCCGCACGAAUGGCGUAACGAUUUGGGCACUGUCUCAACGAGGGGCUUGGCGAAUUUGUAGUACCCGUGAAGAUGCGGGUUACCUGCGACAGGACAGAAAGACCCCGUGGAGCUUUACUGUAGCCUGAUAUUGGAUUUCGGUUUUCCAUGUACAGGAUAGGUGGGAGGCUGAGAACCCAAGGCGUUAGCUUUGGGGGAGCCAACCUUGGGAUACCACCCUUGGAGUAUUGAGGUUCUAACAAAGAGCCGUGUAUCCGGUUCGUGGACAGUGUCAGGUGGGCAGUUUGACUGGGGCGGUCGCCUCCCAAAAGGUAACGGAGGCGCCCAAAGGUUCCCUCAACGCGGUUGGAAAUCGCGUGGCAGAGUGCAAAGGCAGAAGGGAGCUUGACAGCGAGACAUACAAGUCGAGCUGGGACGAAAGUCGGGCUUAGUGAUCCGGCGGUUGCGUGUGGAAGCGCCGUCGCUCAACGGAUAAAAGCUACCCCGGGGAUAACAGGCUUAUCUCCCCCAAGAGUUCACAUCGACGGGGAGGUUUGGCACCUCGAUGUCGGCUCAUCGCAUCCUGGGGCUGAAGUAGGUCCCAAGGGUUGGGCUGUUCGCCCAUUAAAGCGGUACGUGAGCUGGGUUCAGAACGUCGUGAGACAGUUCGGUCCCUAUCCGUCGCAGGCGCAGGAAACUUGAGAGGAGCUGUCCCUAGUACGAGAGGACCGGGAUGGACAGACCGCUGGUGUACCAGUUAUCGUGCCAACGGUAGCGCUGGGUAUCUAUGUCUGGUGUGGAUAAACGCUGAAAGCAUCUAAGCGUGAAACCCCCCUCAAGAUAAGGUUUCCCACCUUCUCGAACUUCGAGAAGGGUAAGACCCCUGGUAGACUACCAGGUAGAUAGGCCGGGCGUGUAAGACUGGCAACAGUUUGAGCGGACCGGUACUAAUAGGUCGAGGGCUUGACUAU
RNAcentral lists this ribosomal RNA (3461 nucleotides) under Peptococcaceae bacterium SCADC1_2_3. RNAcentral's name for it is "Bacterial large subunit ribosomal RNA". It matches the Rfam family "Bacterial large subunit ribosomal RNA". Lineage: Bacteria; Bacillati; Bacillota; Clostridia; Eubacteriales; Peptococcaceae. The record is from Rfam by way of RNAcentral.